Molecule: transfer RNA, 71 nt
Filed under: Marmota marmota marmota (Alpine marmot)
Lineage: Eukaryota; Metazoa; Chordata; Mammalia; Rodentia; Sciuridae
Also listed under: 1 other name
Rfam family: tRNA
About the family: Transfer RNA (tRNA) molecules are approximately 80 nucleotides in length.
Source: Rfam by way of RNAcentral
GUGGUUGUAGCUCAGUGGCAGAGUGCCUGCCUAGCAUGUGUGAGGCAUUGGGUUCAAUUCUCAGUACCACA